Fundulus heteroclitus (mummichog) is the source of this 973-nucleotide long non-coding RNA. RefSeq lists it as uncharacterized. The record is from RefSeq and is a predicted model, not a curated record. NCBI's taxonomy places the organism in Eukaryota, Metazoa, Chordata, Actinopteri, Cyprinodontiformes, Fundulidae. The transcript is spliced from 2 exons.
AUGUGUGUUAUAUUGUUUUGUACUUUAUUCCUGAAUAAAUAUUACGAUUUAUUUUGUCUCAUUUAAAAAACUUUACUUAAGAUAGCAAUGCCAAGUGAGCCACCAAAAAAGGCAUUUCAUUUAUUAGAAUGUUCAACUGUUUUCAUAAAGUCUAUUUUUCCUAAUGUAACCCACAUAAAUUGCACUGGGUUAUUGAAUGUAGUUGUAGUGUUGCCCCCUGUCCAUUAGGGGUCGCUGUGCUGCAUGUGAACAAGUGCAUUGCACAUGGAAGAAGAGUCCACAGCUGCGUUUCUUUUUUCCUGAAGCUCAUAGAGAUAUUGUGAGUGAAAGAAAUAUUAAAAUUUUUCAACCUUCCGACACUUCACCGUUAUUUUUUAACUAAAUCUUUGUUUAACUUUUUCAAGAAGACGUUUCUGGUUGGAUUAUUAUUCCUGAAGAUCGUUUGUGUCUUAAAUCAUCGAAUCUCCGAUUGUUUUUUUUGUUAUUGUGCAUCUUCUGCUACGAUUGAGAGAGAGAGAUACAGCGAGCCAUCCCAAGGACUGUGACCAUUGUGUGUGUCCGCCUACCUGUGGCCUGGACGCAAUCUGAUCUGGAUUACAGAUAAGACUGAGAUACACAUCACUAAUUUCCUACCCGGGUAGUGAUUAGUAAGGACUUGUUUCAUUUUUUUUCUUCCUUUUUUUACAAAAGUACGUACGAAGAUGUUUUUGCAUUUUUCUACCUUUUUUCCUUUUUUCGAGGAAUUAAAGGAUACAUGGACAUUGAUACAGAAACAUUGAACUUUGGGUUUGAAAUAUUGAACUUUGGGAUUGAAACAUUGAACUCUGGGAUCGAAAUAUGGAACUUUGGGGUUAAACUUUAUGAUAUUGAACAUAUUGUUACUGACUGACUUUACGCGACUGACUUUAAGGGGUUAAACAUUUUUGUAUUGUGGUUCAAUAUCUUUUCUUGUGUGUCAUAAUAAAUGUUAUUG